Non-coding RNA from Haemonchus placei, 75 nucleotides. The record is from Rfam. Lineage: Eukaryota; Metazoa; Nematoda; Chromadorea; Rhabditida; Trichostrongylidae.
GGCCCAAAUUUGAAGUAGAGUAGAUUAGUAGAAACAGCUGUCCCUGCUAAUCUGCUGCAUUUCAAGUUUGGGCCC